Molecule: long non-coding RNA, 177 nt
Organism: Mangifera indica (mango)
Lineage: Eukaryota; Viridiplantae; Streptophyta; Magnoliopsida; Sapindales; Anacardiaceae
Exons: 3
Source: RefSeq, a predicted model, not a curated record
UCUUCACCAAUCCUGACACUGCUCUUUAUCUGCACAUACUGCUUCGCCCAACAUACCCAAAUGAACAUGCAGUGGCAUAAGGAUGAUGCACUUCUGAAAGGAGACAAUGGAGGGAGAAUGAAGAUAUGUCUGAUAGCCUCCAAGCUUGAGGACAAGCAAAGCCAAUUCUUUCAGUGG